AGUGAACGCUGGCGGUAGGCCUAACACAUGCAAGUCGAACGGCAGCACAGUAAGAGCUUGCUCUUACGGGUGGCGAGUGGCGGACGGGUGAGGAAUACAUCGGAAUCUACUUUUUCGUGGGGGAUAACGUAGGGAAACUUACGCUAAUACCGCAUACGACCUACGGGUGAAAGCAGGGGAUCUUCGGACCUUGCGCGAUUGAAUGAGCCGAUGUCGGAUUAGCUAGUUGGCGGGGUAAAGGCCCACCAAGGCGACGAUCCGUAGCUGGUCUGAGAGGAUGAUCAGCCACACUGGAACUGAGACACGGUCCAGGCGCCUACGGGAGGCAGCAGUGGGGAAUAUUGGACAAUGGGCGCAAGCCUGAUCCAGCCAGACCGCGUGGGUGAAGAAGGCCUUCGGGUUGUAAAGCCCUUUUGUUGGGAAAGAAAAGCAGCAGGUUAAUACCCCGCUGUUCUGACGGUACCCAAAGAAUAAGCACCGGCUAACUUCGUG
Molecule: ribosomal RNA, 492 nt
Filed under: uncultured bacterium
Lineage: Bacteria
Description: partial 16S ribosomal RNA
Rfam family: Bacterial small subunit ribosomal RNA
Source: RNAcentral